AAGGACAGGGAGGAGGACACACGCCGCGGCGGCGACGCGUGUCCGGUGUAGAGGAGCGGGAGGAGGUGUAGAGGCCGGUUUCGCGAGUGAAGAGGCCGGAAGGAGGUGUAGAGGAGCGGAGGUGGGGUAGGUGAAGGACAGGUUCUGACACCGUUGCCUCGAGCCGCCAACGCCGGGAAGAGGUUCUGACGUCGCACCACGAGCCGCCGACGCCGUUGCCUCGACUACCUCGCGCUCGGCUGGUCAAGUUGCCUCCGCCAUCGUGCCCCGUCGCCGUCGUCGUACCUCCCGCAGGCGAACUGACCUUUCUCUUUCAUAAACAACUAUCACUCUCACUCCUAUUACUACCCCACUCACUCCUACCCCUUCUACGAGGUAGGUACGUACUAGUCGUUCUCCGCGUUUACGUUCACCUUUUUCUCUGUGUUUAAGUUCACCUUUUCCUGCGUGGUGGUUGUCUACCGUUAAACCUCUGGGCAUCUAGACAUGCCGAACACUUCUUCUUCUGGUUCCCGCAGUUGUCGGAUAUGGGCGACGAAUCUUUAGACGACCGUUCAUAGAAGAAAGAUCACAAAAUACUAAGUACUAUUAACGAAUCUUUUAAAAUCAAUGAACCUCGACGAUCAAAGAAUCUACAUAUUUGAAAGAUAGGUACGGAUCGGAAGCAACAGUACAAUUCGUUACAUAAAUACAACAGGACUUUACAAUGGUGAACUGAUAACAACGUGAUCUGUGGAGGGACAAUCAGGUAAAAUAAAGUAAUACGUGUUUCACCUUCUUCUUUUAAGACUACAACUUGAUGUAGAUAGGACUAGGAAAGAAACAAAAGAGAUAUACUUGAUCUUUACGGUGUACUUCUUGAUUCCUAUAGUUCUUCGAAAACCUACAUACGUUCGAACCUCGACGACAAAUAUCUUUACUGUGAACUUCUUAUUGGUUCCUAUAGUUCUUCGAAAACCUACAUCCGUUCGAACCUCGACGACAAAGUUACAGUACGAAACUAUCAACAGAAAACCUCGACAACAAAGAUACACAUUAUGAAAUUCAGACAACCGACAUGGCCUGAUAAAUUUGAGACUUGAUACGACACUACCAACUUGACUACAACCUGACAAUUCCCAAUACAACCUCCGGUGAAAUAUUGAUUACACACGUACAAUACAACCUGUCUACGUCAAAAUAAUUAA
This 1187-nucleotide ribosomal RNA is filed under the name Triticum aestivum (bread wheat). Its description in RNAcentral is "partial small subunit ribosomal RNA". The record is from RNAcentral. Lineage: Eukaryota; Viridiplantae; Streptophyta; Magnoliopsida; Poales; Poaceae.